GAUGAACGCUGGCGGCGUGCCUAAUACAUGCAAGUCGAGCGAACGGACGAGAAGCUUGCUUCUCUGAUGUUAGCGGCGGACGGGUGAGUAACACGUGGAUAACCUACCUAUCAUACUGGUAUAACUUCGGGAAACCGGCGCUAAUACCGGAUAAUAUUUUGAACCGCAUGGUUCAAAAGUGAAAGACGGUCUUGCUGUCACUUAUAGAUGGAUCCGCGCUGCAUUAGCUAGUUGGUAAGGUAACGGCUUACCGAGGCAACGAUGCAUAGCCGACCUGAGAGGGUGGUCGGCCGCACGGGAAGUGAGACAGGGUCCAGACUACUACGAGAGGCAGCAGUAGGGAAUCUUCCGCAAUGGGCGAAAGCCUGACGGAGCAACGCCGCGUGAGUGAUGAAGGUCUUCGGAUCGUAAAACUCUGUUAUUAGGGAAGAACAUAUGUGUAAGUAACUGUGCACAUCUUGACGGUACCUAAUCAGAAAGCCACGGCUAACUACGUG
Molecule: ribosomal RNA, 497 nt
Filed under: uncultured bacterium
Lineage: Bacteria
Description: partial 16S ribosomal RNA
Rfam family: Bacterial small subunit ribosomal RNA
Source: RNAcentral